This 93-nucleotide small RNA is filed under the name Salmonella enterica subsp. enterica serovar Saintpaul. RNAcentral describes it as "partial RtT sRNA". It matches the Rfam family "RtT RNA", at positions 36 to 130 of the family's 130-position model. Rfam says of the family: This family represents a bacterial cis-regulatory element known as RtT RNA. Lineage: Bacteria; Pseudomonadati; Pseudomonadota; Gammaproteobacteria; Enterobacterales; Enterobacteriaceae. The record is from RNAcentral. RNAcentral also lists the same sequence under 1 other name.
CGCAGGUUCGGGACUCACGCAGUGAGACAACGGAGCCGCUUGCGGCGACGGCCCGAAGGGCGAGCGAAGCGAGUCAUCCUGCACGACCCACCA